GGGCUUGUGGCUCAGUUGGUAGAGCGUUCGCUUAGCAUCAUCUCGAGAUGCGAAAGGUCCUGGGUUCGAUUCCCAGCAAGUCCA
Cercophora sp. LCS_1 is the source of this 84-nucleotide non-coding RNA. NCBI's taxonomy places the organism in Eukaryota, Fungi, Ascomycota, Sordariomycetes, Sordariales, Lasiosphaeriaceae. The record is from the annotation of a GenBank genome assembly.